This 26-nucleotide non-coding RNA is filed under the name Mus musculus (house mouse). The record is from RNAcentral. Lineage: Eukaryota; Metazoa; Chordata; Mammalia; Rodentia; Muridae.
UGCAAUUGAGGGCUGACCACAGGUAG